This 89-nucleotide microRNA precursor is filed under the name Asparagus officinalis (garden asparagus). RNAcentral describes it as "miR477b stem-loop (aof-MIR477b)". Its record names the gene aof-MIR477b. Lineage: Eukaryota; Viridiplantae; Streptophyta; Magnoliopsida; Asparagales; Asparagaceae. The record is from miRBase by way of RNAcentral.
GCCCUUUGGGAUCUCUCUCCCUCAAAGGCUCUCAUACCCAGAUGUGAAAUCUGAGUUGAAGCCUUGAGGGUCAGAGAUCCUAGAGGCCU